UACCCGCAGCACAAGUGGUGGUCAUUAUUAUUGGGCCUAAAGCGUCCGUAGCUGGCUUGUUAGAUGCCUGGGUAAAUCGAUGCGCUCAACGUAUCGAAUUCCGGGUAGACCGGCAAGCUCGAGACCGGGAGAGGUGUAGGCUACUCGCGGGGUAGGGGUAAAAUCCUGUAAUCCUGCGGGGAGGACCAGUGGCGAAGGCGCUACACUAGAACGGCUCUGACAGUGAGGGACGAAGCCCUGGGGCGCAAACCGG
Molecule: ribosomal RNA, 253 nt
Filed under: uncultured bacterium
Lineage: Bacteria
Description: partial 16S ribosomal RNA
Rfam family: Archaeal small subunit ribosomal RNA
Source: RNAcentral